Molecule: non-coding RNA, 70 nt
Organism: Podarcis lilfordi (Lilford's wall lizard)
Lineage: Eukaryota; Metazoa; Chordata; Lepidosauria; Squamata; Lacertidae
Source: the annotation of a GenBank genome assembly
GGAUAGCUCAGUUCAUUAGAGCGUGGUGCUGAUAACUCCAAAGUUGCAGGUUCAAUCCCCACAAGGGACA